GGCCCAAUGGUCUAGUGGCAAGAUACUUGCUUUGGGUUGGUCUCAAUUGCAAGGGAUCCCGGGUUCGAAUCCCGGUUGGGCCC
This is a transfer RNA of Phlebiopsis gigantea 11061_1 CR5-6, 83 nucleotides long. It matches the Rfam family "tRNA". Rfam says of the family: Transfer RNA (tRNA) molecules are approximately 80 nucleotides in length. Their secondary structure includes four short double-helical elements and three loops (D, anti-codon, and T loops). NCBI's taxonomy places the organism in Eukaryota, Fungi, Basidiomycota, Agaricomycetes, Polyporales, Phanerochaetaceae. The record is from Rfam.